CAGCAGGUUGAAGACUUCGUGAAAAGCUCCUCUCUUGGUGCUGGAGCAGCGUCCUCCGUCCUCGUCCCGGCUGACACCCAGAGGAGCCGCAGCGCCGACGCUGCCUCGGCCGCUCGUCACAGUUACCUGGACAGGUGGACAGAGGGGGGGCGGGGCAAAUACUGGAUUAGCAAAUCAGCAGCAGGCGAGGUACUGCAGUGGCAUCCUGAGCAUCGCAGUGGAACAACUCACCUGUCCAGGUGACUGACCCGUCUGCUCAGCGUGCUGCUGCCGCGCUCCUUCAGCUGCAGGUCGGUGGGAUGUUUGCCAUCCUGCCAAACAGAUUCUGUGAAAACAAAACAACAAUUUUUGUGACACCCGUCGGCAGCCGUCACACUGCGACGCAGUGCCUCGGACUUCUUCGUCACGUCUCACCUGAGCUUUCUGAGCGACGUCCAGAACCAGCUGGAACUUCUCCGACACCGUCAGGUCUUCUUUAGGAGCCUCCUGCAAAACAGAGGAGACAGUAAAGUGAUGAACACUGACACCUGUCAGUCACUUGCACACCAACAUGUUUAACUAUGUCAACAUGUUGAUCAUCUAAAAUAAAUUAUGUUUUGUAUUACAAGCCAUGAACAGCUGAU
Cottoperca gobio is the source of this 623-nucleotide long non-coding RNA. RefSeq lists it as uncharacterized. The record is from RefSeq and is a predicted model, not a curated record. NCBI's taxonomy places the organism in Eukaryota, Metazoa, Chordata, Actinopteri, Perciformes, Bovichtidae. The transcript is spliced from 3 exons.